RNAcentral lists this ribosomal RNA (252 nucleotides) under uncultured bacterium. RNAcentral describes it as "partial 16S ribosomal RNA". It matches the Rfam family "Bacterial small subunit ribosomal RNA", at positions 524 to 776 of the family's 1533-position model. The record is from RNAcentral.
UACGUAGGCAGCAAGCGUUGUUCGGAAUUACUGGGCGUAAAGAGUGUGUAGGCGGUGCUCUAAGUUUGUCGUGAAAUCUCCCGGCUUAACUGGGAGGGUGCGGCGAAAACUGGAGUGCUAGAGGGUGGGAGAGGAAAGCGGAAUUCCUGGUGUAGCGGUGAAAUGCGUAGAUAUCAGGAGGAACACCUGCGGUGUAGACAGCUUUCUGGACCACUUCUGACGCUGAGACAGAAAGCGUGGGUAGCAAACAGG